This 497-nucleotide ribosomal RNA is filed under the name uncultured bacterium. RNAcentral's name for it is "partial 16S ribosomal RNA". It matches the Rfam family "Bacterial small subunit ribosomal RNA", at positions 28 to 507 of the family's 1533-position model. The record is from RNAcentral.
GAUGAACGCUGGCGGCGUGCCUAAUACAUGCAAGUCGAACGGACGGGCGCGACGCUUGCUUCUCUGAUGUUAGCGGCGGGCGGGUGAGUAACACGUGGAUCACCUCCCUAUCAUACUGGUAUCACUUCGGGAAACCGGAGCUUAUACCGUAUGAUCUUUUGCUCCGCAUUGUUCAAAAGUGAAAGACGGUCUUUCUGUCACGUAUCGAUGGAUAUGCGCUGCAUUAUCUAGUUGUUAAGGUAACGGCUUACCAAGGCAACGAUGCAUAGCCGAACGGAGGGGGUGAUCGGCCACACGGGAACGGAGACACGGACCAGAGGCCUACGGGAGGCAGCAGUAGGGAAUCUGCCGCAAAGGGCGAGAGCCUGACGGAGCAACGCCGCGUGAGAGAUGAAGGUCUUCGGAGCGUAAAACUCUGUUACGAGGUAAGAACAUAUUUGUAAGUAACCGUGCACAGCGUGACGGUACCUAAUCAGAAAGCAACGGCUAACUACGUG